GGGUGAUUAGCUCAGCUGGGAGAGCACCUCCCUUACAAGGAGGGGGUCGGCGGUUAUAUUUACCA
RNAcentral lists this transfer RNA (65 nucleotides) under Salmonella enterica subsp. enterica serovar Heidelberg str. 670102-5. RNAcentral describes it as "tRNA-OTHER". Lineage: Bacteria; Pseudomonadati; Pseudomonadota; Gammaproteobacteria; Enterobacterales; Enterobacteriaceae. The record is from RNAcentral.